Syngnathus acus (greater pipefish) is the source of this 529-nucleotide long non-coding RNA. RefSeq lists it as uncharacterized. The record is from RefSeq and is a predicted model, not a curated record. The transcript has 3 exons. NCBI's taxonomy places the organism in Eukaryota, Metazoa, Chordata, Actinopteri, Syngnathiformes, Syngnathidae.
CAAAUUCUUUUUAAAAGAACAGGCUGCCCUAAAGAAUGGAGAUGACGACGCCCUAAAAAUGGCUCCUCUCUCCUGCACCGAGGUCUGCAUCUCCUAGCCUGUCUUUGAGCUUAAAAUUUGACUAAGUCCAAUUUGAAGAUAUUAUAAAUUCAUUUUAGCGGACCUUGGGUUAAUCUCAGAAAGAAUGAAAUCUAUCUUUGUCUAAUCGGCGUUCUCGACCCAUGGCAGCGGCUCGCCCACCGGGCGAGAGAGAGCGAUGCUCUUUGUCCGAACAAAACUUUCAUACCAGUCCAGUUCGUGGGUACUAUGCCUGUUUGGUCACGUACCAGUUUUUUUCCAUGACGUCAUACAUUGGCCUCAGAUGACCCAAAUGCUUCCAGAAUAGACUGCACCUGCAUCUCGGCCGGUCUCAAACGGAUUCAACCAGAUGAGGUGACCAUGUUCUCACGGAAGUAACAAUUUUCUCAGGGAUGCUUCAUCCUGUUUCCCACUCCCAAAUCUUGUCAACUGUCCAUCAACGUGACAUUUG